GGAGCGGUGUCCGAGUGGUUUAAGGUGACGGUCUUGAAAACCGUUGCGCCGAAAGGCGCCGUGGGUUCGAAUCCCACUCGCUCCG
RNAcentral lists this transfer RNA (85 nucleotides) under Spirochaetaceae bacterium. RNAcentral describes it as "tRNA-Ser". It matches the Rfam family "tRNA". From Rfam's summary of the family: Transfer RNA (tRNA) molecules are approximately 80 nucleotides in length. Their secondary structure includes four short double-helical elements and three loops (D, anti-codon, and T loops). Lineage: Bacteria; Pseudomonadati; Spirochaetota; Spirochaetia; Spirochaetales; Spirochaetaceae. The record is from RNAcentral.